Molecule: ribosomal RNA, 652 nt
Filed under: uncultured bacterium
Lineage: Bacteria
Description: bacterial SSU rRNA
Rfam family: Bacterial small subunit ribosomal RNA (bases 1-544)
Source: RNAcentral
CCUACGGGAGGCAGCAGUGGGGAAUUUUGGACAAUGGGCGCAAGCCUGAUCCAGCAAUGCCGCGUGCAGGAUGAAGGCCUUCGGGUUGUAAACUGCUUUUGUACGGAACGAAACGGUGAGCUCUAAUACAGUUUGCUAAUGACGGUACCGUAAGAAUAAGCACCGGCUAACUACGUGCCAGCAGCCGCGGUAAUACGUAGGGUGCGAGCGUUAAUCGGAAUUACUGGGCGUAAAGCGUGCGCAGGCGGUGAUGUAAGACAGAUGUGAAAUGCCCGGGCUCAACCUGGGACCUGCAUUUGUGACUGCAUCGCUAGAGUACGGUAGAGGGGGAUGGAAUUCCGCGUGUAGCAGUGAAAUGCGUAGAUAUGCGGAGGAACACCGAUGGCGAAGGCAAUCCCCUGGACCUGUACUGACGCUCAUGCACGAAAGCGUGGGGAGCAAACAGGAUUAGAUACCCUGGUAGUCCACGCCCUAAACGAUGUCAACUGGUUNUUGGGUCUUCACUGACUCAGUAACGAAGCUAACGCGUGAAAGUUGACCGGCCCGUCGGGAGGUACGGCCCGGCCGACGGUUAGGUAAACGUACGAAAGUAGUAAGUUAGUACGGACGUUAGGAGACGUUGGCCGACGGACGACGACGAGGGGAGGUUAGG